Molecule: ribosomal RNA, 497 nt
Filed under: uncultured bacterium
Lineage: Bacteria
Description: partial 16S ribosomal RNA
Rfam family: Bacterial small subunit ribosomal RNA
Source: RNAcentral
GAUGAACGCUGGCGGCGUGCCUAAUACAUGCAAGUCGAGCGAACAGACGAGGAGCUUGCUCCUCUGACGUUAGCGGCGGACGGGUGAGUAACACGUGGAUAACCUACCUAUAAGACUGGGAUAACUUCGGGAAACCGGAGCUAAUACCGGAUAAUAUAUUGCACCGCAUGGUUCAAUAGUGAAAGACGGUUUUGCUGUCACUUAUAGAUGGAUCCGCGCCGCAUUAGCUAGUUGGUAAGGUAACGGCUUACCAAGGCAACGAUGCGUAGCCGACCUGAGAGGGUGAUCGGCCACACUGGAACUGAGACACGGUCCAGACUCCUACGGGAGGCAGCAGUAGGGAAUCUGCCGCAAUGGGCGAAAGCCUGACGGAGCAACGCCGCGUGAGUGAUGAAGGUCUUCGGAUCGUAAAACUCUGUUAUUAGGGAAGAACAAAUGUGUAAGUAACUAUGCACGUCUUGACGGUACCUAAUCAGAAAGCCACGGCUAACUACGUG